GAGCUUGUAUGUCGCUGAAUACUUCACAGUAGGCUACAGGUGAGUGUACAUGUGGAGAAGUUAAUGGCAUUCGGUGACUGCGUUGGGAAAGCAGCUAGAGAUGACCGUGAAGUGAAAUCCUGUGACAACAGUGUGUGAGGCGCGACAUGAAGCGUGCUAAACGUCGACCUUUCUGUGUUUUCAGGUAAAGCAGAGGAGGAAAACCACGCUAUUUGCCAAACCUGCUCCACACAAUGGUCAAGCAAAGCAGAGGGGGGAUCCAUGCUAUUUGUCAGUCCAGCUGCACACAAGUGAUGUAUAUGUGCUGCCGAAGCAAGCACGAAGUAAGCGCCCGGACGUCUGCUAUAUAUCCCAGGGACUUCUGGGUAUGUUUCUGCCAAGUGCAGAUCUUUUGUCCUCGCGUCCUUCUCCUUCCCCCACAUGCAUGCGCAGACCUUCCCCCGCCGCAGACCAGAGGACAACACACUCCGACACCAGCAAACAGCCGGGCGAAACAUUCACAGACACUCGGAGGCUAAGAAGAUCUAAACUCCGUGAUAGCUAAGAUCAAACUAUUUCAUAACUGUAACAAGAGGCGAUUCCAUCAUAACGUAAUGUUGAAAUGGAUAGCAUAACAUUAUUCAUCAAUGUGUGACUCUUUUUUUUUUGGGUUCUCGGAAGCUGUAGAAAGUAAAAAUGUACAACAGGAAAUGCGCUGGGACCGUUGCUUUUGUUUACAUCCCUCAAAAUAGUCUAUAGCGUAGUCACGAAGUGUUUUAAACGGAGUUUAGGUGCUCUGUAUUGAGUCGUGAUGAUGUAUAUCGUCGCCUUACAAUUAUAAGGUUCUAUCUGACAUUUUUGUCAAAAUUGAGUUAUUGACAUAUUAUAUAUGACAUAUUAUAUGACAUAUUCUUAUUAAAUGACAACUUAUUUACAUUGUGAUGUGUUUUUAUAUAUAUAUUUUAUUUACAUUUUAAGACGUUUUAUUUAAAAAAUAAAAACGGUUUAUCUACAAAAUUGAAUUCUAGCUUGGUUCUAUAAGGUUCUUUCUGUGAGCCAAUCAGCAUUUUUAAUGCACGCACGAGGACCAAUCAGGAUCAGCUUUUUUUGUUGUCACAUGCCGCACUGCUCCAUUGACAGCGGGAAACACCAGGAAGAAACCCAAAAAUCAUACAAAAUCGGAGUUGGCUAAAAAAACGCCACAGCAGACAAAUUGAGAUGUGAUGAUUUAGAAGCUUUUUUUGACAUUGAGAUUAAAUGUAAAAUUUUACACUGUUGAAAUAGAAACGAAAUAUUUUAAAAAAUUACAUAUUAAAUGUGAAAUAUUUUUGUGUGUGUGUGUAUGUAUAUGUAUAUUUAUAUAUAUUUAUAUAUAUAUUAUAUAUAUAUAUAUAUAUAUAUAUAUAU
RNAcentral lists this long non-coding RNA (1386 nucleotides) under Danio rerio (zebrafish). Its description in RNAcentral is "lncRNA (ENSDARG00000117363.1)". Lineage: Eukaryota; Metazoa; Chordata; Actinopteri; Cypriniformes; Danionidae. The record is from RNAcentral.